RNAcentral lists this ribosomal RNA (268 nucleotides) under Hyalomma impeltatum. Its description in RNAcentral is "partial large subunit ribosomal RNA". Lineage: Eukaryota; Metazoa; Arthropoda; Arachnida; Ixodida; Ixodidae. The record is from RNAcentral.
UAACUAUACAAAGGUAUUGUAAUAAGUUUUUAAUUGAAUGCUAAAAGAAGGGACGUUUAAGUAAAAUCUUUUUUAAAAAUAAAAAUUAAUGUUUUUUUAAUUUGAGCAAAACCAAUUAUUUAUAUUAAGGACACGAAGACCCUAUGAAUUUAUGAUUUAAUAAACUAAAAAUUUUUAUUUUAUUUAAUCUUGAUUGGGGCAAUCAAAAAAUAUUAAUAACUCUUUAAAUUUAAAUGAUCUAUUAUUAAUAAUCUAAUGGAAUAACUCC